RNAcentral lists this ribosomal RNA (485 nucleotides) under uncultured bacterium. Its description in RNAcentral is "partial 16S ribosomal RNA". It matches the Rfam family "Bacterial small subunit ribosomal RNA", at positions 29 to 523 of the family's 1533-position model. The record is from RNAcentral.
AGUGAACGCUGGCGGCGUGCUUAACACAUGCAAGUCGAACGAGAACGGAAUAUAGCUUGCUAUAUUUGUCAGCUAAGUGGCGCACGGGUGAGUAAUGUAUAGAUAACCUGCCCUUAAGAAAGGAAUAACAGUUGGAAACGACUGCUAAUGCCCUAUAUGCCUUUAAUAAAUAAGUAUGCAAGGGAAACGCUUUAGUGCUUAAGGAUGGGUCUGUAUGGUAUCAGCUUGUUGGUGAGGUAAUGGCUCACCAAGGCUAUGACGCCUAACUGGUUUGAGAGGAUGAUUGGUCACACUUGAACUGAGACGCGGACCAGACUCCUACGGGAGGCAGCAGUGGGGAAUAUUGCACAAUGGACGAAAGUCUGAUGCAGCAACGCCGCGUGGAGGAUGACACAUUUCAGUGCGUAAACUCCUUUUAUAUAGGAAGAUGAUGACGGUACUAUAUGAAUAAGCACCGGCUAACUCCGUGCCAGCCGCCGCCGUAA